RNAcentral lists this non-coding RNA (92 nucleotides) under Desulfosporosinus youngiae. RNAcentral describes it as "c-di-GMP sequence". It matches the Rfam family "c-di-GMP-I riboswitch aptamer". From Rfam's summary of the family: GEMM was predicted in a large-scale screen for bacterial structured RNA regulatory elements. Genes associated with GEMM are involved in a diverse array of functions, including chemotaxis regulation, signal transduction, secretion and chitin. The record is from RNAcentral. RNAcentral also lists the same sequence under 1 other name. Lineage: Bacteria; Bacillati; Bacillota; Clostridia; Eubacteriales; Desulfitobacteriaceae.
UAAAGUCAAGGGCAAACCUGCCUAAAGGCAGGGACGCAAAACCGUAGGAUCUAAGGUGCUUAAAAGGCGCUAUGAAUAGCCUGGUUGCCAAU